RNAcentral lists this transfer RNA (77 nucleotides) under Dehalococcoidia bacterium. Its description in RNAcentral is "tRNA-Thr". It matches the Rfam family "tRNA". Rfam says of the family: Transfer RNA (tRNA) molecules are approximately 80 nucleotides in length. Their secondary structure includes four short double-helical elements and three loops (D, anti-codon, and T loops). Lineage: Bacteria; Bacillati; Chloroflexota; Dehalococcoidia. The record is from RNAcentral.
GCCAGCGUAGCUCAGUUGGCCAGAGCAGCGCUUUCGUAAAGCGCGGGUCGGGGGUUCGAAUCCUCUCGCUGGCUCCA